Long non-coding RNA from Apis mellifera (honey bee), 1275 nucleotides. RefSeq lists it as uncharacterized. The transcript has 3 exons. NCBI's taxonomy places the organism in Eukaryota, Metazoa, Arthropoda, Insecta, Hymenoptera, Apidae. The record is from RefSeq and is a predicted model, not a curated record.
UUACUGCAAAGCCAGGAUAAUUUAUCGGCAAUAAUAACGCAGGCAGCAGUCGGUCGCUCGUCAAAACUUUCUUGCCCGAUGGCCGCACAUACAUAUAUCACACCCUCUCUUAGUUCCAUCUUCGUUCUACUACGGCAAAGUUUUCCGUUUAAUAAGUUUCAGCAAUUUUUCACUUUUCCAACAGCGUGUUAUUCGGAGAAACAGAGAGUAGAAAAGGGAAAGAUCGUUGAUUUUUCGUAGGGUGAAAACGACUUUCGCUUUCAAACUCGCAUUAAAGUUGUCUGUAACAUUCAUCGAGGAUUUGAAGUGGUGAUAUGUAAUGGAUUUUUUGAUAAAGAAGAUCAUAAAGUGAUUUUGUGAAGAUCAGAUAAGAAAGGAAGUUAAACAAUGAAGAAAGUAUAAUUGUUCUAUUGCAAAUAGAACUAUUGUUCCAGUCUUAAUUAUGUGAUUGAGGUUAUGAACAUGAAUGAGGUUAUGGAUAUGAAUGAAUAGAACUACGAUUUACUUGAUUGUUGAGUUGAUCUAUUUCUUGAAAUAUAGAUUUUUAUGAAUUUCAGUGAAAUAUAUUAUUAAAUAUUUAAAAAAACUAUUUAAAAAAAGGAAGAAUAGAAACAGUUGAAUUUAUCAAAAAGAUAAAAAAAAAUAGAUCAAAAGAAAAAAACACUUUUCAAACAAAGAACAAUGAUCGGUAUAACUGGAAGAACCACACAAGUAAAAAUUAGACAGUCAGCAAAUAGGAAACACACGAAAGGGAAAGCAAAAGAGCGAAAGCAUCGCAUCGAUGGAAGGUGAAGGGGGUUGAGAGGAGGUUGGCGGAAAAAUGUGGAAAGAGACUGAGCUAAAUUAAAGGGCGUCGCGAACAAAGGCGAAUGUGCUUCGAGAGCAAAACAGGCUGCAAGUAGUAUAGGUGUGCGCUACAUAGGUGGCCAUGGGGGUGUCUACGUUUGCCUCUUCGUGUCAGAUCUAAGCGCGUGGCUGUAGUGUUGUUGGCUGACGAGAAUAGAGAUGGAAAGCGAAGAUACGCAGUGAAUUUCAAUGUGUUCUGUGAUUCGUGCCCAGAAAACUAUUUUCCUCAAUGUGGUUGAAGAGAAAGAAAAGAAUGAAUGAUAUAGAAGAAACAAAAAAGAAAGAAGAUCGAAGGAUGUAUACAAGAAAAUGAUGAAACUCAUUCAAAGAAGGAUUAAUCAUGGCAAAAUUAAAUUAAAAAUUAAAUUUAAAAAAACGAAUGAAAUUAAAGGAGCAAAAAUCUGCGAAUUUGAUCUAGAAAUAAUAUAA